RNAcentral lists this ribosomal RNA (490 nucleotides) under Pseudomonas sp. B6. RNAcentral's name for it is "bacterial SSU rRNA". It matches the Rfam family "Bacterial small subunit ribosomal RNA", at positions 16 to 501 of the family's 1533-position model. The record is from RNAcentral. Lineage: Bacteria; Pseudomonadati; Pseudomonadota; Gammaproteobacteria; Pseudomonadales; Pseudomonadaceae.
AUCCUGGCUCAGAUUGAACGCUGGCGGCAGGCCUAACACAUGCAAGUCGAGCGGAUGAGUGGAGCUUGCUCCAUGAUUCAGCGGCGGACGGGUGAGUAAUGCCUAGGAAUCUGCCUGGUAGUGGGGGACAACGUUUCGAAAGGAACGCUAAUACCGCAUACGUCCUACGGGAGAAAGUGGGGGAUCUUCGGACCUCACGCUAUCAGAUGAGCCUAGGUCGGAUUAGCUAGUUGGUGAGGUAAAGGCUCACCAAGGCGACGAUCCGUAACUGGUCUGAGAGGAUGAUCAGUCACACUGGAACUGAGACACGGUCCAGACUCCUACGGGAGGCAGCAGUGGGGAAUAUUGGACAAUGGGCGAAAGCCUGAUCCAGCCAUGCCGCGUGUGUGAAGAAGGUCUUCGGAUUGUAAAGCACUUUAAGUUGGGAGGAAGGGCAGUAAGUUAAUACCUUGCUGUUUUGACGUUACCGACAGAAUAAGCACCGGCUAAC